This 253-nucleotide ribosomal RNA is filed under the name uncultured bacterium. RNAcentral's name for it is "partial 16S ribosomal RNA". It matches the Rfam family "Bacterial small subunit ribosomal RNA", at positions 524 to 776 of the family's 1533-position model. The record is from RNAcentral.
UACAGAGGGGGCAAGCGUUGUUCGGAAUUACUGGGCGUAAAGGGCGCGUAGGCGGCCUUCUAAGUCGAACGUGAAAUCCCUGGGCUCAACCCAGGAACUGCGUCCGAUACUGGGAGGCUUGAAUCCGGGAGAGGGAUGUGGAAUUCCAGGUGUAGCGGUGAAAUGCGUAGAUAUCUGGAGGAACACCGGUGGCGAAGGCGGCAUCCUGGACCGGUAUUGACGCUGAUGCGCGAAAGCCAGGGGGGCAAACGGG